This 352-nucleotide unclassified non-coding RNA is filed under the name soil metagenome. RNAcentral describes it as "partial contains 5.8S ribosomal RNA, internal transcribed spacer 2, and large subunit ribosomal RNA". The stretch from base 1 to 120 matches the Rfam family "5.8S ribosomal RNA", at positions 35 to 154 of the family's 154-position model. The record is from RNAcentral.
GAUGAAGAACGUAGCGAAAUGCGAUAAGUAGUGUGAAUUGCAGAAUUCAGUGAAUCAUCGAAUCUUUGAACGCACAAUGCGCCCGCCAGUAUUCUGGCGGGCAUGCCUGUUCGAGCGUCAUUUCAACCCUCAGGCCCCCAGUGCCUGGUGUUGGGGAUCGGCCCAGCCUUCCUGUAAGGCCGCCGGCCCCGAAAUCUAGUGGCGGUCUCGCUGUAGUCCUCCUCUGCGUAGUAGCACAACCUCGCAGUUGGAACGCGGCGGUGGCCAUGCCGUUAAACACCCCACUUCUGAAAGUUGACCUCGGAUCAGGUAGGAAUACCCGCUGAACUUAAGCAUAUCAAUAAGCGGAGGA